UGGGGAAUUUUGGACAAUGGGGGAAACCCUGAUCCAGCCAUCCCGCGUGUGCGAUGAAGGCCUUCGGGUUGUAAAGCACUUUUGGCAGGAAAGAAACGUCGCGGGUUAAUACCCCGCGAAACUGACGGUACCUGCAGAAUAAGCACCGGCUAACUACGUGCCAGCAGCCGCGGUAAUACGUAGGGUGCAAGCGUUAAUCGGAAUUACUGGGCGUAAAGCGUGCGCAGGCGGUUCGGAAAGAAAGAUGUGAAAUCCCAGAGCUUAACUUUGGAACUGCAUUUUUAACUACCGGGCUAGAGUGUGUCAGAGGGAGGUGGAAUUCCGCGUGUAGCAGUGAAAUGCGUAGAUAUGCGGAGGAACACCGAUGGCGAAGGCAGCCUCCUGGGAUAACACUGACGCUCAUGCACGAAAAGCGUGGGGAGCAAACAGGAUUAGAUACCCUGGUAGUCCACGCCCUAAACGAUGUCAACUAGCUGUUGGGGCCUUCGGGCCUUGGUAGCGCAGCUAACGCGUGAAGUUGACCGCCUGGGGAGUACGGUCGCAAGAUUAAAAACUC
RNAcentral lists this ribosomal RNA (556 nucleotides) under uncultured bacterium. Its description in RNAcentral is "partial 16S ribosomal RNA". It matches the Rfam family "Bacterial small subunit ribosomal RNA", at positions 355 to 902 of the family's 1533-position model. The record is from RNAcentral.